Molecule: ribosomal RNA, 411 nt
Filed under: uncultured bacterium
Lineage: Bacteria
Description: bacterial SSU rRNA
Rfam family: Bacterial small subunit ribosomal RNA
Source: RNAcentral
GAACGAGAAAGGGGAGCAAUCCCUGAGUAAAGUGGCGACCGGGUGAGUAACACGUGACUAACCUGCCUUCGAGUGGGGGAUAACCUCGGGAAACCGGGGCUAAUACCGCAUAAUGCCUUCGGGUUAAAGGAGCAAUCCGCUUGAAGAGGGGGUCGCGGCUGAUUAGCUAGUUGGCGGGGUAACGGCCCACCAAGGCGAUGAUCGGUAGCCGGCCUGAGAGGGCGCACGGCCACACUGGAACUGAAACACGGUCCAGACUCCUACGGGAGGCAGCAGUGGGGAAUUUUGCGCAAUGGGGGAAACCCUGACGCAGCAACGCCGCGUGGAGGAUGAAGCCCUUUGGGGCGUAAACUCCUUUCGACCAAGACGAUAAUGACGGUACUGGUGGAAGAAGCACCGGCUAACUCUGUG